This 460-nucleotide ribosomal RNA is filed under the name Fusarium oxysporum. RNAcentral describes it as "eukaryotic LSU rRNA". The stretch from base 106 to 259 matches the Rfam family "5.8S ribosomal RNA". Lineage: Eukaryota; Fungi; Ascomycota; Sordariomycetes; Hypocreales; Nectriaceae. The record is from RNAcentral.
GCCUCGGCGGAUCAGCCCGCUCCCGGUAAAACGGGACGGCCCGCCAGAGGACCCUUAAACUCUGUUUCUAUAUGUAACUUCUGAGUAAAACCAUAAAUAAAUCAAAACUUUCAACAACGGAUCUCUUGGUUCUGGCAUCGAUGAAGAACGCAGCAAAAUGCGAUAAGUAAUGUGAAUUGCAGAAUUCAGUGAAUCAUCGAAUCUUUGAACGCACAUUGCGCCCGCCAGUAUUCUGGCGGGCAUGCCUGUUCGAGCGUCAUUUCAACCCUCAAGCCCAGCUUGGUGUUGGGACUCGCGAGUUAAAUCGCGUUCCCCAAAUUGAUUGGCGGUCACGUCGAGCUUCCAUAGCGUAGUAGUAAAACCCUCGUUACUGGUAAUCGUCGCGGCCACGCCGUUAAACCCCAACUUCUGAAUGUUGACCUCGGAUCAGGUAGGAAUACCCGCUGAACUUAAGCAUAUC